GGGUUUUUAAAUUUUUACACCAUUUUUAUCUUUUUUUGUUUUGAACCAUCAGCCCUUGGCCAAUCUUCCCAGAUACGUAUCAUCGGUAUAAUUUCUUAACUACGAUCAUAUAAUAAAUCUCAUAUUAUACUUAUUCAUUACGUUCACAAAAAGUUAAACCUUGUGGUUUUAAAAAUAGUAUAUUUUUAUUUUUUACAUUGUUUUAAAUUCUAACUGAAUAACAAUUCUGAAAUUGAUUAAUACGGGAGGUUGGCCAAUUCGAAACCACAUACCAGUCUCAUACAUGUUGACAUACGAAGUCAACUGAACAGUACUAAUUCGUAUUUUUAUAUCUGGUUUCACUGGGCUGAUGUUUUGUAUCGUUUUGGAGCUAUUAAUACUUUUUACGCUUUUUUGCUAUUUUAAGAUGUUUUUGUGACAGUUAAUUUAACUUUGCGAUAAGUUGCUUCUUCAUAUUAUGUUCAUCAUAGGUGUGCAGUCCAGUACCUAUUUAUGUACAAUGUUAUUAGAGAGUACGUGGUGUGGUAACCUGCUACAAAGUUAGAAAACACCAUUAGUUAGUUAGGUUUAUUAGUCAAUAGCCUAUAUGACUGACUAGUACAGUAUUGUCUACAUAUAUUACAUGACACUACAUUAAACAUUAAUUUGUAAACUAGGCUUAUCAGUAUACUGGUCGCUUUAGGAUAUUGCCACACAUGUACUUUCAUUCAUUUACGAAUUAGUGUGACAGAUACAAUUGAAAAUAAUAAAGAGAAACAAAGAUGCACAACUAAUCCCAAAAAAGCAAACGAAACACAUCGUAAAUUAGCUUCUUUGUCGCAAAAUGGCUGUUUGGCGUGAAAUCUUUUGAUGUACCCGAGAGCGUACAGUCUUCUUGAAAACGCACAGUUUUUUGUGACUAUUCUAUCAAUGUAAUUAAAAGCGUUCAGCAUUCAGUAUGCCAAUGCCUGAAAACGUACAAUCUGUUUGGUGAUCAGGUCACAAGCAUGCCUGAUUACGUACAGUCUGCUUGGCUUCCAGACUACUAGCUUACCUGAAAACGUACAAUCUGUUUGGUGAUCAGGUCACAAGCAAAACACAUCGUAAAUUAGCUUCUUUGUCGGAAAAUCCGGGGCUGCUUGGCGUGAAAUCUUUUGAUGUACCCGAGAGCGUAGUCUUCUUGAAAACGCAGUUUUUUGUGACUAUUCUAUCAAUGUAAUUAAAAGCGUAUUCUCUGAUUGGCAUUCAGGAUGCCAAUGCCUGAAAACGUACAAUCUGUUUGGUGAUCAGAUUACAAGCAUGCCUGAUUACGUACAGUCUGCUUGGCUUCCAGACUACUAGCUUACCUGAAAACGUACAAUCUGUUUGGUGAUCAGGUUACAAGCAUGCCUGAUUACGUACAGUCUGCUUGGCUUCCAGACUACUAGCUUACCUGAAAACGUACAAUCUGUUUGGUGAUCAGGUUACAAGCAUGCCUGAUUAUGUACAGUCUGCUUGGCUUCCAGACUACUAGCUUACCUGACAACGUACAAUCUGUUUGGUGAUCAGGUCACAAGCAUGCCUGAUUACGUACAGUCUGCUUGGCUUCCAGACUACUAGCUUACCUGAAAACGUACAAUCUGUUUGGUGAUCAGGUUACAAGCAUGCCUGAUUACGUACAGUCUGCUUGGAUUCCAGACGACUAGCUUACCUGAAAACGUAUAAUCUGUUUGGUGAUCAGGUUACAAGCAUGCCUGAUUACGUACAGUCUGCUUGGCUUCCAGACUACCAGGAUACCUGAAAACGUACAAUCAGUUUGACGAUCAGGUAAACAUCUGAAAGAACUAAUUAACGUCAAAUCAUUCGGCAAACAUGCUGACCGCUGAUGGCAAUCAGAUGAGAUAAACAAUUCAUCUGAUUCCCAAAAGUAAGUAUCUAGAAUGGGUUAUUGCCAAUUAAAAUGAACAGAAAGUUCUAAAAAAUAACUUUUACCAACUGGACAUAAUUUUUAUUCAUUUCGGCUUUAAAAAGUAGUUGACCACAACUCGUAGUGGUCAACUUCAGCGUACUUCAGCGAACACAAACGUAUUGUCUGCGAGAUUGUAGGCAAAUUUGACUAUUGGGAGUAACAUAUACAAUUAAAUGUAAACUCAUUGAGGGAUCAAAACCCGCGAUGUCAUCAGAAAUAAAUGUUAGAGGAGUAAUUUGGUACUAAAAAAUUAUGACAUCAAAAUAGUUGUAUUACUUUUACAACUGAUACUGCGGUUAUUUAAUUAUCCAUUAUAGAAUUCUCACUCACCAUCCCUCAUAGAUGUUCCGGCUAUUAGACCAAGCCAUUCAAUAUCUUUUCCACAAAUUCCUUUCUAAUAUGAUCGGACAAUUCUAUAUUGAUAUUUCAAAGAAUAUCUAUAUCUUAUAUCUAUAUCUACAUCUUAUCUUUGACGAAGUUUAGUGACUAUGAAAACUACCUUUUAAAAUUACAGUAGUAUGACAAUUUCAUUUUAA
This 2463-nucleotide long non-coding RNA is filed under the name Homalodisca vitripennis (glassy-winged sharpshooter). Its description in RNAcentral is "uncharacterized LOC124357890". The record is from RNAcentral. Lineage: Eukaryota; Metazoa; Arthropoda; Insecta; Hemiptera; Cicadellidae.